This is an RNA transcript of Temnothorax curvispinosus, 1031 nucleotides long. RefSeq lists it as uncharacterized. The record is from RefSeq and is a predicted model, not a curated record. Lineage: Eukaryota; Metazoa; Arthropoda; Insecta; Hymenoptera; Formicidae. The transcript is spliced from 4 exons.
CAGAUUUCUUUCUCAAUCACAGACGCAUGAAGCUGUUAAGAAAGACCGAUCUAUGUUGGAAUACAGCGGUAACCUAAAAAUAGAUGGUGACAGUGACAGAGUCGUAACCAUUGCCGCGUGAUAGAUGAUAGUGAUAGUGAAAUAUAUAUUGACGGCAGGGAGCUGAUGCCGAGGAGAUCUUUCAAAAGGAAGGUGUAUCCAAAAUCGCACACGAACAUUUUAUAUUCAACUAUAUGGUAUACAAUUUUGCCGCUAUAUAUUGACCGCAGGGAGCUGAUACCGAAGAGAUCGUUAAGAAGGAAGGUGUAUCCAAAAUUGCACAUGUAUGGGACUUGUGAGUUAUGCGAAGCAAUUGAUACUAUUAAGGUUCAUUGGUCAUAUGAAGUUUGCACACGUCAAGCUUGACAUCCUAAAGAUCACAAUGCAUUCUGAAAACGAUACCGUACAGGUUCGUUGGCGUAUACGUGGUGUCAUCACAGGCUGAAAGGUAUUUUCUGUGUUUUGGAAGUAAAAUUUGGAAAAUACAACAUGUCAUAAAAUAAGCGCUAACCAGAAAAUAUGGUACGACGGCUUUUUUAUGUUAAUGCUGAAUGGAAAAGUUUAUAAGCAUAUUACGGACAAGAUGAUGCUUAAUCAGGAUACAGCCACGAAAAAGAAAGAUAUGCGCAUGGCAGGGAAAUUAGCGCUAUUCACAGGCUUUGUAAGCAUAUUUAGUAACAACGAGGAUUCUUUGAAUUGAGCUCUGUCUUAAAAUCGUAUCAAUUGAAGUGAAUCCACUGCUGAGUGCUGAAAUUAUACGAUUUUAUCCGUCACAACGAAUAGACCAAGAAGAAUGCUUUUUCCAGUCGAUGGUUUGGAAUGUUGCUGACGUAUCUAUUUCGUUGCAAAUGCAUCAUUAUGAAAUGAUGAUCGGUAGUAAAUGAGAGAUAUGUGAAUUAAAAAGAUGUGUACAUUAACUAAACAGUAUCUUUGUAUGAUUACAAAAUAUCUUCAUCUAAUUUUUUAGUGAAAAUGUCCGAAUAAUUUGCGUU